UACGAAAGGGGCUAGCGUUGUUCGGAAUUACUGGGCGUAAAGGGCGCGUAGGCGGUGAUCUUUGUCAGAGGUGAAAGCCCCGGGCUCAACCUGGGAACGGCGCGGCGAAACGGGGGGCUGGAGUUCGGGAGAGGAGCGUGGAAUUCCCAGUGUAGAGGUGAAAUUCGUAGAUAUUGGGAAGAACACCGGUGGCGAAGGCGGCGCUCUGGACCGAGACUGACGCUGAGG
Molecule: ribosomal RNA, 228 nt
Filed under: uncultured bacterium
Lineage: Bacteria
Description: partial 16S ribosomal RNA
Rfam family: Bacterial small subunit ribosomal RNA
Source: RNAcentral